GACCCCCUGGGCCAUGAGAAAAGUUAUGAACGAAAACUUCUCCGUAACUGGAGAAACUUCCUGAAAGCUAAAGAUGCCAGCCCCAGUCAGUGGAGUGUCAGCACACUGCCACAUGGACUGCAGCAGGAUUCCAGCAGUUGCGGAGUCUUGAUUUUGAAGUUUGCAGAAAGCUACUUGCAGAUGGGAAGUCUGCUGUCAGUCAAC
This is a long non-coding RNA of Austrofundulus limnaeus, 204 nucleotides long. RefSeq lists it as uncharacterized. The transcript is spliced from 3 exons. Lineage: Eukaryota; Metazoa; Chordata; Actinopteri; Cyprinodontiformes; Rivulidae. The record is from RefSeq and is a predicted model, not a curated record.